AUCGGAGGGGAAGGAGAUUCGCGAAUGCAGCCGGAUACUGCAUCAGGUCCUGUUUCCCGAGGAACAACAGGGACAUGGUUUUCGUUGAAAAUU
RNAcentral lists this small RNA (93 nucleotides) under Sinorhizobium meliloti 2011. RNAcentral's name for it is "putative ncRNA". Lineage: Bacteria; Pseudomonadati; Pseudomonadota; Alphaproteobacteria; Hyphomicrobiales; Rhizobiaceae. The record is from RNAcentral.